Long non-coding RNA from Oreochromis aureus, 1227 nucleotides. NCBI's taxonomy places the organism in Eukaryota, Metazoa, Chordata, Actinopteri, Cichliformes, Cichlidae. The record is from Ensembl.
UAUCUUAUUGAUAUCUUAUUCCAGUGUUUUUCUCUAAUUUUUCUAUGCAACUUUGCACUGUCCACUGAUGUAACAAAACAAAUUUCCCACGCAUGGGACUAAUAAAGGCUCAAGACAACUCAAGUACUCUUCAUUACUCUGAAGUCGAUUUUUCCCACAUUCCUGCCACCAACAGCGCUCCAUCUCGUAAUGCAACUGAUGUUGUUUACUCCACACCUGUGGUACAUACCAGCCCUUCCAACCACACCAAAGAUUCUUCAUCUCCUCUGUACUCAGCAGUUAAAAAACGGUAUUAAUGCUGCCGAUGGCACCUUCCCUCUCACAAAGAUCAACAGGUGAUCGUAAUUCAUAGAAAAUGAGGUUCUUUUCUGCUUAUUUAAGUGAACUGAAUGUUCAAACAAUUAGCCUCAGAUUAAUUUAUUUAAUUAUUUAGUUAUAUCUACUUUAACUUAACAGACAACUAAUUGCAUGCAUACUUUUUGGAAACUGGAGUAUUUUUCAUUAAGAAAUACAGGAAAACCCAACUGACUUGGAACAUCCGUGGCUGUAUGAGAGCAUGCAGUGGUCUCAGGUCAGUCAGCAGGUUGUUCUUGGAGGGACAUCCAUAAAUGGAGUUAGCAAAACGGCUUCUUUCACAUGUAGAAAUUUACAUCAAGCGGUUUCUUUCUUGCCCAAACCUAACAAAACUGAGACUGAAAAGUGAAUAAUGGCAUGAAAAUCUGCACAAAACUCAAAAACAUUCUGUCAGAAAACCCUAAAGACAAGUUCCACUAGUGACAGUUUCCGUUUUCUUUCUGUUGGCAAUGUAAACAAGCAAAGAAAACAAACAAAAAAAACCCCAAAAAACAAGCAAAAAACAAAAAGAUGGGUGAAUUGAUUUAAAAUAUUAUUUUAAUAAAGCUUUUGGGAUUGCACUCUUCUUGCCCGAUUAUCCAGUGUUUUCUAUCAUGCUUGGCUCCCAUAAUCUCUAUAAAACAUGGCGCAGUCUUAUCGUCCAGGCCUGAAAAGUGAAGCUGAUUUGGAAGGUUCAACAAAUCCAGCAAAGCCAAACAUGUCAGACUUUAAUGUGAAGAUGCCUAAAUCCACAGCAGAAAUAAAAUGCAACCUGCCAUAAAAAACAAAUAAAUGACCAAAACACCAAAUUGAAUGAUAGGCGCCUAGCUUUGCUCACAAACCUGCUUGUUUGUGUAAUUUUGUACUGACACAAACACUGAAAGUACUGUGUUA